GGCAGGGCAAUGACCAUCAUGCUGUCACUCCAUUUCCUGGAUUCUAAGAUGUCCUAACAUUUCUGAAUCCAUGGAUGAUAGCAGUGGUGGCGAACCCUC
Molecule: long non-coding RNA, 99 nt
Organism: Sapajus apella (tufted capuchin)
Lineage: Eukaryota; Metazoa; Chordata; Mammalia; Primates; Cebidae
Exons: 3
Source: RefSeq, a predicted model, not a curated record